This 253-nucleotide ribosomal RNA is filed under the name uncultured bacterium. RNAcentral describes it as "partial 16S ribosomal RNA". It matches the Rfam family "Bacterial small subunit ribosomal RNA", at positions 524 to 776 of the family's 1533-position model. The record is from RNAcentral.
UACGGAGGGGGCGAGCGUUAUUCGGAAUUAUUGGGCGUAAAGGGCGCGUAGGCGGCUUUGCAAGUCGGAUGUGAAAUCCCCAGGCUUAACCUGGGAACUGCAUUCGAGACUGCAUUGCUAGAGUUCGGUAGGGGAGACUGGAAUUCCUGGUGUAGCGGUGAAAUGCGCAGAUAUCAGGAGGAACACCGGUGGCGAAGGCGGGUCUCUGGGCCGAAACUGACGCUGAGGAGCGAAAGCGUGGGGAGCAAACAGG